RNA transcript from Populus trichocarpa (black cottonwood), 3764 nucleotides. It is a transcript of the gene named villin-4, with no coding region annotated. NCBI's taxonomy places the organism in Eukaryota, Viridiplantae, Streptophyta, Magnoliopsida, Malpighiales, Salicaceae. The record is from RefSeq and is a predicted model, not a curated record. The transcript is spliced from 24 exons.
UGCCGUUAGUGAUAAGCACGUCUGGCAACACAUCAUUCCCUCCAACUCCCCUCUUUCUCUCUCUAACUUUUUUCUCUCGCUCUAUACUUCAUUUGCUAUUCUCGCUUCUUUUCUUCUUCUCUUUACCCCCACCUUUAUCCCUCUCUCUCAACUUUCCUUUUAGCCUGUCCAGGUUUUCUCUGUCUUUGCUACUAAAACAAGGAGGAGGAAAUUAAGAAAAAAAAAAGAAAUUUCUAAUUUUCUCUUAAUUUUUUUUAUUAGAUUGGAUCUGGGGUUGCUUCUUUAUUGGAUUAUCAGCUUCAAAGACCAGUUCUAUUUCAGGGUAAUCCUUUCUCUAUAUUCUGCCUGGAGUUGUGGCAAUCCAAAUAAUUGAAGAGCAGAAACAGUAUGGCUGUUUCCAUGAGAGAUUUAGACUCGGCCUUUCAGGGAGCUGGACAAAAGGCUGGACUUGAAAUAUGGCGGAUUGAAAACUUUCGUCCUGUUCCUGUGCCGAAGUCCUCUCAUGGAAAAUUUUUUACCGGGGACUCCUAUGUAAUUUUACAGACAACUGCACUAAAAAGUGGUUCCUUACGUCAUGAUAUUCAUUAUUGGCUAGGUAAAGAUACCUCUCAGGAUGAAGCAGGUGCUGCUGCCAUUAAAACAGUUGAACUAGAUGCUGCUCUUGGAGGCCGUGCUGUGCAGUAUCGUGAAGUGCAGGGACAUGAAACUGAGAAGUUCUUAUCUUAUUUUAAACCAUGUAUUAUACCUCAAGAAGGUGGAGUCGCAUCUGGAUUCAAACAAGCUGAGGCCAUGGAACACCAGACACACUUGUUUGUUUGUAGAGGAAAACACGUUGUCCAUGUGAACGAGGUUCCUUUUGCUCGAUCCUCACUCAACCACGAUGAUAUUUUUAUUCUUGAUACAAAGUCAAAAAUUUUUCAAUUUAAUGGCUCCAACUCAUCCAUUCAAGAGAGAGCUAAAGCUUUAGAGGUGGUUCAGUACAUCAAAGAUACUUAUCAUGAUGGAAAAUGUGAGGUGGCUGCUGUUGAGGAUGGAAAAUUGAUGGCUGAUGCUGAAACUGGAGAGUUCUGGGGUUUCUUUGGUGGCUUUGCUCCACUUCCAAGGAAAACAACUAGUGAUGAGGAUAAGACUGAUGUUUCUUUUCCUACUAAGCUGUUUCAUGUUGAGAAGGGACAGGCAGAACCUGUUGAAGCUGAUUCUUUGACAAGGGAGUUGCUGGACACCAAUAAGUGUUACAUUCUAGAUUGUGGAAUUGAAGUCUUUGUAUGGAUGGGGAGAAAUACUUCUCUUGACGAAAGGAAAAGUGCCAGCGGAGCAGCGGAAGAGUUAGUCCGUGCUGCUGAACGUCCAAAUUCCCGCAUUGCUCGUGUAAUUGAGGGGUUUGAGACGGUGAUGUUUAGAUCAAAAUUUGAAUCGUGGCCUCAGACAACUAACGUGACUGUGUCUGAGGAUGGUAGAGGAAAAGUUGCAGCACUUCUAAGACGCCAGGGGGUUAAUGUCAAUGGUCUGUUGAAAACUGCUCCUGUGAAAGAAGAACCUCAACCAUACAUUGAUGUCACUGGGAAUUUGCAGGUUUGGAGUGUGAAUGACCAGGAAAAGAUUCUCAUUCCUGCUGCAAAUCAGUCAAAAUUUUACAGUGGAGGUUGCUAUAUUUUUCAGUAUUCAUAUCCAGGAGAAGACAGGGAAGAAUAUCUUAUAGGAACAUGGUUUGGGAAGAAGAGUGUUGAGGAGGAAAGAGCUUCUGCUAUUUCAUUGGCGAGCAAGAUGGUUGAAUCAUUAAAGUUUCUACCUGCCCAGGCUCGCAUCUUUGAAGGAAAUGAGCCUAUCCAGUUCUUUUCAAUCUUCCAGAGCUUUAUUGUAUUUAAGGGUGGUCAUAGCUCUGGUUACAAGAAAUAUAUUGCUGAAAAUGAACUCCCAGAUGAGACAUGCAAGGAGGAUGGUGUUGCGUUAUUCAGGGUUCAGGGUUCUGGACCUGAUAAUAUGCAGGCUAUACAAGUUGAGCCAGUUGCAUCAUCACUGAAUUCCUCCUACUGUUACAUAUUACAUAAUGAUUCCUCUGUUUUUACGUGGUCUGGAAACCUUACUACUUCAGAGGACCAGGAACUUAUUGAAAGGCAGCUGGAUUUGAUAAAGCCAAAUAUGCAGUCUAAGCCACAAAAGGAAGGUUCAGAAUCUGAACAAUUUUGGGAUUUGUUAGGAGGUAAAUCUGAAUAUCCCAGUCAAAAACUUGCAAGGGAAGCUGAAAGUGAUCCGCACCUAUUCUCUUGCAUAUUUUUGAAAGGAAACCUGAAGGUUUCUGAGAUAUACAACUUCACCCAGGAUGAUUUAAUGACUGAAGAUAUUUUUAUCUUGGAUACUCACUCUGAGAUCUUUGUCUGGGUGGGGCAACAGGUUGACUCCAAAAGCAAACUGCAAGCCUUGAGUAUUGGAGAGAAAUUUCUUGAGCAUGAUUUUCUGUUAAAGAAGUCAUCCGGUGAAACUCCAAUAUAUAUUGUUAUGGAAGGGAGUGAGCCACCUUUCUUCACACGCUUCUUCACAUGGGAUUCUGCAAAAUCUUCAAUGCAUGGAAACUCAUUCCAAAGGAAACUUGCAAUUGUAAAAAAUGGGGGUACUCCACUUCUAGAUAAACCCAAACGUAGAACAGCCGUAUCUUAUGGAGGCAGAUCUAGUGUACCUGACAAAUCACAGCGUUCCAGAAGCAUGUCUUUCAGUCCUGACAGAGUUCGAGUUAGGGGAAGGUCUCCAGCUUUCAAUGCCCUGGCUGCUAAUUUUGAGAACCCUAAUGCCAGAAACCUUUCAACUCCACCACCAGUUGUAAGAAAGGUAUAUCCAAAGUCUGUGAGCCCUGAUUCAGCAAAACUGGCUUCCAAAUCUGCAGCUAUAGCAGCAUUGACUGCAAGUUUUGAACAACCGCCACCAGCACGACAAGUAAUUAUGCCGCGGUCUGUCAAGGUGAGCCCUGAGACUCCAAAAUCGACACCUGAGUCAAACUCUAAGGAGAAGCCUAUAAGCAUCAGAAUAGAAUCCCUGACCAUACAGGAGGAUGUGAAAGAGGGUGAAGCUGAAGAUGAGGAAGGGCUCCCAAUUUAUCCAUAUGAAGGCCUUAAAGUUAACUCGCCAGAUCCUGUAACUGAAAUUGAUGUGACCAAGCGAGAGACUUACCUCUCAGCAGCAGAAUUUAGGGAGAAAUUUGGGAUGGCAAAGGAUGCUUUCUAUAAGUUGCCCAAAUGGAAACAGAACAAGCUCAAAAUGGCCCUUCAAUUGUUCUGAGUCUCCAUCAUGCCUCAGCUUUCCUUUCAGCUCGCUGCUACGGAGGCUGCCGGUGGAAAAGCUUGCUUGUGAAUCUUGAACGAUCUUGGUUUCUCAGAAUUUAAAAGGGACAGCAUCAGUGCUUUUUUAGCUGCUUCUGCCCCCAGGAAGCUUGUUUUCUCGAUUGUCUAAACAAAUCAGAGAUUUUUGCCAUUUCUCACUCUUUCCUUUUCUUCCUUCUCCAUAUGGUGGUUUGAAUGUCAAACUCUACAUAUUUUUUCCCCUUCCUUUUUUCGGUUUGAGUUAGUUCUUCGGUAUUCUUUUAUGGUUACAGGUUGAUUGCGAGCUUGAGUUUUUGUUUUUCAUUUUCGGAUCACAUGGGAUUGUUUUCAGUAGAGUAGGGGCUUGAGAAUGAAGAAGAUUUAGGUUUAUUGUACAACUGAGGAUGUAAGUGUGUAGAGCAGUGUAAAACCAGUCCACUCAUCAUUUGUUUCCAAUUAAAGUGUGUUUCUUUC